Felis catus (domestic cat) is the source of this 301-nucleotide non-coding RNA. It matches the Rfam family "7SK RNA". Rfam says of the family: 7SK was discovered as an abundant small nuclear RNA in the mid-70s but a possible function has only recently been suggested. Two independent studies have found that 7SK RNA binds the CDK9/cyclin T complex (known as elongation factor P-TEFb). P-TEFb activates transcription by phosphorylating the C-terminal domain of RNA polymerase II. NCBI's taxonomy places the organism in Eukaryota, Metazoa, Chordata, Mammalia, Carnivora, Felidae. The record is from Rfam.
AGAUGUGAUGGCAAUCUGGUUGUGACAUCUGUCACCCCACUGAUCGCCAGGGUUGAUUUGGUUGAUCUGGAUGGCUAGGCAGAUGUCCCCAUCCUCCCUCACCACUCCACGUGCAGCCUCCUGAAGCUGUCCACUGGGUCGAAGAGGAUGACCUUCCCCAAUAGAGGAGGACUGCUCCUCCGUUGAGGGUAUGUGAGUAGCUGCACUCCCCUGCUUGAAGGUCCAACCAAGCUCUAAAGGUCCAUAGAACGGUAGGACUCCUCAAAAUGAUAUACAGAUUCAACUUGACCCCUACCAAGAU